This 398-nucleotide unclassified non-coding RNA is filed under the name Hevea brasiliensis (rubber tree). The record is from RNAcentral. Lineage: Eukaryota; Viridiplantae; Streptophyta; Magnoliopsida; Malpighiales; Euphorbiaceae.
GCAGAUAUAGGUUUGUGGAAAAUCAAGACAAUAGCCGAAAGCAUAACUACAGUUUUGAUCUUACUUUCUCAAUAAGCUCCCUUCUCAGGAUUUUUCCAGCAGCAGAUUUCGGCACACUGUUCACAAAAGUUACCCUCCUCAAUCUCUUGAAAGGUGCAACCUGCUGUGCAAUGAAUUUCUGAACAUCCUCUUCAGUCAGCACACUCGUGGGAGAUCUGAUUACAUAGGCAAUUGGAACCUCGCCAGCCUCAGCAUCAGGGAAUGGAAUGACAACUGCAUCGAGUAUCUCUGGAUGAGAAAGGAGCAGGCCUUCAAGCUCAGCAGGUGCAACCUGAAAUCCUUUGUAUUUGAUGAGUUCUUUUAUCCGAUCUACAACAAAUAGUUGUCCCACUUCAUCG